AGAGUUUGAUCCUGGCUCAGGACGAACGCUGGCGGCGUGCUUAACACAUGCAAGUCGAACGGAGUUUAAGAGGAAGCUUGCGAAUCUUAAACUUAGUGGCGGACGGGUGAGUAACGCGUGGAUAACCUGCCUACAUGACCGGGACAACACCGGGAAACUGGUGCUAAUACCGGAUACGCUCAUAGAUACACAUGUAUAUAUGAGGAAAGGAACAAUCCGCAGGUAGAUGGGUCCGCGUCCCAUUAGCUAGUUGGCGGUGUAAAAGACCACCAAGGCGACGAUGGGUAGCCGGCCUGAGAGGGUGGACGGCCACACUGGAACUGAGACACGGUCCAGACUCCUACGGGAGGCAGCAGUGGGGAAUCUUCCGCAAUGGGCGCAAGCCUGACGGAGCAACGCCGCGUGAGUGAAGAAGGCUUUCGGGUUGUAAAACUCUGUCUUCAGGGAAGAAACAAAUGACGGUACCUGAGGAGGAAGCCCCGGCUAACUACGUGCCAGCAGCCGCGGUAAAACGUAGGGGGCGAGCGUUGUCCGGAAUUACUGGGCGUAAAGGGCGCGUAGGCGGUUUCUUAAGUCAGAGGUGAAAACUACCGGCUUAAUCGGUAGCCUGCCUUUGAAACUGGGAGACUUGAGGGCAGGAGAGGGGAGUGGA
RNAcentral lists this ribosomal RNA (652 nucleotides) under uncultured Pelotomaculum sp. RNAcentral describes it as "SSU rRNA". It matches the Rfam family "Bacterial small subunit ribosomal RNA", at positions 8 to 665 of the family's 1533-position model. The record is from RNAcentral. Lineage: Bacteria; Bacillati; Bacillota; Clostridia; Eubacteriales; Desulfotomaculaceae.